GCGGAGGCCAUUGCUAUUGGGAUCCGAUUUAGCCAUGCUAGUCGCACGAGUUCAGACUCGUGGCGAAUAGCUCAGUAACACGUGGCCAAACUACCCUUCGGAACACAAUACCCUCGGGAAACUGAGGCUAAUAGUGUAUCCCAUACCACCACUGGAAUGAGUGGUAUGCCAAACGCUCCGGCGCCGAAGGAUGUGGCUGCGGCCGAUUAGGUAGACGGUGGGGUAACGGCCCACCGUGCCAAUAAUCGGUACGGGUCAUGAGAGUGAGAACCCGGAGACGGAAUCUGAGACAAGAUUCCGGGCCCUACGGGGCGCAGCAGGCGCGAAACCUUUACACUGCACGACAGUGCGAUAGGGGGAUCCCAAGUGCACAGGCAUAGCGCCUGUGCUUUUCGGUACCCUAAGGCGGUACCAGAAUAAGGGCUGGGCAAGACCGGUGCCAGCCGCCGCGGUAAUACCGGCAGCCCAAGUGAUGGCCGAUCUUAUUGGGCCUAAAGCGUCCGUAGCUGGCCGCGCAAGUCCAUCGGGAAAUCCACCUGCUCAACAGGUGGGCGCCCGGUAGAAACUGCGUGGCUUGGGACCGGAAGGCGCGACGGGUACGUCCGGGGUAGGAGUGAAAUCCCGUAAUCCUGGACGGACCGCCGAUGGCGAAAGCACGUCGCGAGAACGGAUCCGACAGUGAGGGACGAAAGCCAGGGUCUCGAACCGGAUUAGAUACCCGGGUAGUCCUGGCCGUAAACAAUGUCUGCUAGGUAUGGCACAGGCUACGAGCCUGUGCUAUGCCGCAGCGAAGGCGCUAAGCAGACCGCCUGGGAAGUACGUUCGCAAGAAUGAAACUUAAAGGAAUUGGCGGGGGGAGCACUACAACCGGGAGGAGCCUGCGGUUUAAUUG
RNAcentral lists this ribosomal RNA (892 nucleotides) under uncultured archaeon. RNAcentral describes it as "bacterial SSU rRNA". It matches the Rfam family "Archaeal small subunit ribosomal RNA", at positions 17 to 908 of the family's 1478-position model. The record is from RNAcentral.